AAUAACUUUAUGGUUGGUGGAUCUACACCUGCCCAAGCAAGCCCAGUGACACGCACUGCGGCUCAAGAUGCUUCGACCUGCACGCCACAAUGAUCACUCGAGGUAGUUGUCUAUGCUUGUGCAUUAUUCAUACUUGUGUCUUGUCGUUGGUUGUGUCUCUCAAUUCCCAACUUGUGCAUUGCUGAUAGUAGAGCCCAGAGUCUUGAUCCUUGUAUUAUUCAUACUUCUUAGCUUCAAUUUGAAACUUAUAUGUUGAUGCUUGUUGACUCUUGUGCCUUAUCGAUCAUUUGCAAUUUAGCUUUGGAAACUCCUGCGUGUGGUAAUGAACUUAGAGGUUUGCAUCACGAAUGCCGUCGACGGUGGGCAUACUUGCUGUGGUGGACACUCAUUGCAUAUUGUAGGUUGAACUCAUGCUUUUGUGAACUCUUGUUGCAUAUGUAAUGUUGUUGUGAACCCUCCUUGAAUAUGU
Molecule: long non-coding RNA, 469 nt
Filed under: Hordeum vulgare
Lineage: Eukaryota; Viridiplantae; Streptophyta; Magnoliopsida; Poales; Poaceae
Description: long non-coding RNA (HVUL_LNC004018)
Source: RNAcentral